Molecule: long non-coding RNA, 1433 nt
Filed under: Fukomys damarensis (Damara mole-rat)
Lineage: Eukaryota; Metazoa; Chordata; Mammalia; Rodentia; Bathyergidae
Description: lncRNA (ENSFDAG00000024140.1)
Source: RNAcentral
GGCUGCUGAGCUGCUGGCCCUGGGAGAAGCUGAAGUGCUUGGUGUUUUCUUUAUCCUGUGGUCUCUGGGGCCCCUGAGUGUUAGGGGCUCCCUGGUCCCCAAAUCCUCAGGAAGUUCACAGUCUUCCCUAGUAUGGGUGGAAUUUGCCUUUUUCUAAAUUUAAGCUGAAACCUACUCAGCUUUAAACUAUAAAGGGAAAUCUUUUUUUUUUUUUCUUAAGAUACAGGAAGUGCAGCUGACCCUUUCAAGACUAGAGAUAGGAAAUGGAAAAUUCUGCAGAUCCAAUCAGCCAGGUUAUGGGCCAUCUCCCCAGCCCUGAUGGUGGAGAAGACACUGGAAUGACCACUGGGAAGCGCUUGGGGGAGCUGUGGAGCACUGAGCUUGUGGAAACUAUUACAGAGUUAUUACAGCCUCUGUUUUCCCACCAUAAUGGAGGCUGGGACCUGAGCCUGCAACGACUUUUGCAUCCGCAAAUAAUGCCAAAUGUAGGUCUUUCUAGGGGUUUGUGACAUAUAGUUGCUGACUGAGAUAAUUCUACUCCCUAAGGACAAACAGGAGGGAUCAGCCCACACUAAAAUAUUAGAAUUUCUUACAAUUGUUGAACAUAGAAUUCUCUUGUAACCAGAAGCAAAAACUAUAAAUGUUUUCAUUAUUUUAAUAAAUUGUACUGGUCUGAUUUGGAUGUGAGUGUGUGCCCUAAAAGUCCAUGAGUUGGAAUGUUGGUUCUCAGUCUGUUGGUACCGAAGCCGAUGGAACCUUUCAGAAAUGGGGCCCGCUACAGGGUUUGUGGUUUAUUUGGGCACCGCCAUUGGAAAGGACUAAUGCUGGCUCCCUGUUCCUGGAGCUUGUUAUACACAGAGCAAACCUGGUCCUCGAAUCUCUCUGACUUCCUAUCUCUCUUGGGAAGCAUGGCUUCCAUACUCUACUGUGACACACACAGCCAAAGGGGCCCUCAUUAAAGGCCAAACAGGUGGGGCCACCGAAUCUUGACUUUCAGCCUCUAGAACUGUGAGCUUGUGCUCACUUCCAUGGCAGAUAUACUAAAAUUGGAACUGUAAGCUUAGUAAACCUCUUUUCCUUAUAAAGUACCCAGCCUUGGGUGGGUGGGAGGUUGCAAGUCUGGGGUUAGGACACAGGGCCUGGAACAUGUAUUAUUACAGCAACAGACAAUGAACAAGACAUGUGUUUCCAUACAAUUAAAAUGUGCCCAAAUGUGCAGUUUAAAUGGUUUUUGGUGUACAUCCCUGAAUACCAUCACAAUCAAGAUACAGAACAUUUGCACUUUUUCACAAAGUUCUCUGUGUCCUGUUGCAACCAGUCCACCCCAUUCCCCACCCUUGGCAAGCACAGAUCUGGUUUCUUUUGCUAUAGAUUCAUUUUUUUCCUGUCCUAGAACAUCACAUAAAUGAAAUCACAAAUUCCAUAUCAUUUUG